Stegastes partitus (bicolor damselfish) is the source of this 606-nucleotide long non-coding RNA. RefSeq lists it as uncharacterized. The transcript has 2 exons. The record is from RefSeq and is a predicted model, not a curated record. NCBI's taxonomy places the organism in Eukaryota, Metazoa, Chordata, Actinopteri, Pomacentridae.
AAAUACCAUUUAUAGACGGUCUUUUUAUCAUAUUUCCAGAAGAGCUUUAAUAAAUCUAUGAAAGAACCAAAUUUAUGAUUGUUUUUGUGACAACGAUUCAUGUUUCAGUGGUUCCAUCACAGAAAAUUCAGAGUUGUAGGACUGUCAUGAUGAACAGGAUCUUUACAGGUGGAUGGAAGCUUUGGUUCACGACUGUGUCUGCAGGAUAAUGAGCUUCAGUCUGUCUGUCUGUCUGUGCAGGAGGAGCAGGCAGACAGCUGUCUCAGAGCUCGUCCUAACUUCUUUUACCGUAGGAAGCGAGCCCUCAGGUCCAAGUUCACCGGUGCAGAGUUCACAGCCGGUAACCUUGACGACAGCAGCGACAUCACCGACUCCGACUGAUGGACCAAAAACGCUGUGUACUUUUACUGUAGCAGAGUAUUUCUACUCUGCAGAAUCAGUGCUUUUACUGUAUCCUGCUGAAAUCAGGUGUUGGUCCGGUUCCCUGCUGUUAGAUGAGCGGUGCUGGUUGUGACUCCUUGAAUGAAACCUGACUCAGAUGUUGUGUCUUUUACAGUCACUGUUCAGGCUUCUGUCUGUGUUAAUAAAGCUUGUUCUGAACUCACA